AGGUCUCCUGAAGGAACGUUGAAGACGACGACGUUGAUAGGCCGGGUGUGUAAGCGCAGCGAUGCGUUGAGCUAACCGGUACUAAUGAACCGUGAGGCUUAACCCU
RNAcentral lists this ribosomal RNA (106 nucleotides) under Salmonella enterica. RNAcentral describes it as "partial 23S ribosomal RNA". It matches the Rfam family "Bacterial large subunit ribosomal RNA", at positions 2820 to 2925 of the family's 2925-position model. Lineage: Bacteria; Pseudomonadati; Pseudomonadota; Gammaproteobacteria; Enterobacterales; Enterobacteriaceae. RNAcentral also lists the same sequence under 1 other name. The record is from RNAcentral.